CAGCACCUCAAGUGGUCAGGAUGAUUAUUGGGCCUAAAGCAUCCGUAGCCGGCGCUGUAAGUUUUCGGUUAAAUCUGUACGCUCAACGUACAGGCUGCCGGGAAUGCUGCAGAGCUAGGGAGUGGGAGAGGUAGACGGUACUCGGUAGGAAGGGGUAAAAUCCUUUGAUCUAUUGAUGACCACCUGUGGCGAAGGCGGUCUACCAGAACACGUCCGACGGUGAGGGAUGAAAGCUGGGGGAGCAAACCGGAUUAGAUACCCGAGUAGUCC
Molecule: ribosomal RNA, 270 nt
Filed under: uncultured archaeon
Lineage: Archaea
Description: partial 16S ribosomal RNA
Rfam family: Archaeal small subunit ribosomal RNA
Source: RNAcentral